Oncorhynchus tshawytscha (Chinook salmon) is the source of this 2283-nucleotide long non-coding RNA. The record is from Ensembl. NCBI's taxonomy places the organism in Eukaryota, Metazoa, Chordata, Actinopteri, Salmoniformes, Salmonidae.
CUGGAACACUGUAUGAUCUGGAACACUGUAUAUACACUGUAUGAUCUGGAACACUGUAUGAUCUGGAACACUGUAUAUACACUGUAUGAUCUGGAACACUGUAUGAUCUGGAACACUGUAUAUACACUGUAUGACCUGGAACACUGUAUAUACACUGUAUGAUCUGGAACACUGUAUGAUCUGGAACACUGUAUAUACACUGUAUGAUGUGGAACACUGUAUGAUCUGGAACACUGUAUGAUCUGGAACACUGUAUGACCUGGAACACUGUAUAUACACUGUAUGAUCUGGAACACUGUAUGAUCUGGAACACUGUAUGAUCUGGAACACUGUAUAUACACUGUAUGAUCUGGAACACUGUAUGAUCUGGAACACUGUAUAUACACUGUAUGAUCUGGAACACUGUAUGAUCUGGAACACUGUAUGAUCUGGAACACUGUAUGAUCUGGAACACUGUAUAUACACUGUAUGAUCUGGAACACUGUAUGAUCUGGAACACUGUAUAUACACUGUAUGAUCUGGAACACUGUAUGAUCUGGAACACUGUAUGAUCUGGAACACUGUAUGAUCUGGAACACUGUAUGAUCUCAGCAGCUGAUAACUGCAUCCAUUGUUCAGGUCCAACACUGACUAUAUGUUUGAAGAACAAUGAAAAUACUUAGUACACUGUAACUUGCCCACUGGAAACUUAGUACACGGUAACUCACUCACUGGACCACUAGCAAAUACUACAUUUGUGUUUUAGACAAAGUACUUUCUUAGCUACAUGUAUGUUAAAUUUAUAUGCUUGAAUUGUAGAAGAUUGGCGAUUUCUUUCUGCUCUCGAUGAUGAUGUUGAUAACCCACACAAAUAUCAACAUCUGAAUGGUGUUUUUUAAACCGCUGGUGCCUUAUCUUUCUCUACAAGAAGGUUGGCUUAUCUCAAGACAGAAGCAGCUCAUGGACUUGAUUGAAUGCUGAUUGAUUGAAUGCUGUUCAUGUUUGAGCCACAGAGUGUUUAAAAUCCUAUUUAUUUAAACUAACAAAAGGUGGCCAUUUUGUGACAUGGCCUUGUGUAACUGAAGGAGAAAACGGUUUGGCCAGAAGCCACGCUGGCAGCCUACUGAAAGAGUGAUGGAUUUAUACACUGGAGUAUUGUAUUAUUCUAGCCUUUCCAUUCAUUGCUCUGAAUAUGUGUAACGCUUUUCGUCUUCCCCUCCCUGACGGGAAACAACACCCUUUCCCUUCAGCCAUGUUUAUAAGUAUCUCCUCUGGAAAACACACCUCUUCACAUGUACUCUGUUAUUAGCCUAUACUUUUUGUAGUGAUAUCUUUUCCUUACUCACUGACCACUGUCCUCUUUGAAACAACAUUGAUUGUGUUCCUCAUAUGUCAUGUAAUACAGAAUUUAGUAUAUACAUGUAUUACUACGUGAUGAAGGACCCCUUUGGAUAUUAUCUGGUAUCUGAAUAUCUCAAGUUAACAAAAUACCUAUUCCCAUCUCAAGUUCAGAAUGCACCAUCUCUCUCCAAUACAGAGACCUGGGCCCGUUUUCAGAAAUCGCCUUAGAGUUGGAGUGCUGAGCUAGGAUCAGUUCUCAGGGUAGGAGUGCUGAUCUAGGAUCAAGUUCCCAUUGUCGAUGUCCAAAAAAAAUAUCUUUGAUCACAAAUACAGGCCCCUGGUUGGUUGAAACAGAUGUAUUGACACAAUAUCCCUCUGACCAGUAUGUGUUAAAUCUUACCUGACCUGUCAUGUCAUAAGAAAUCUAAAUUCAAAAACAAAUAAUCAAAUGAAUAUACUUAAUUGAAGAUGACACAAUAUAAACAUAUAGUAUUAUACUGUAUUACCAAUAUGAUUUUGCCAUACAUGAGUACAGUGUACUGUUUUAGCUUAUUUAUAAUGCACCAGCCAGCCUUUAUAGUGACACCAGCAUAGUAGGUGUAGUUUAGCACUGUAUAUACGGACUGCUUAAUGCUCUGAUGGUGUUUCCAACUGGUUCCAACUGGUUUCAACUGGUUCCAACUGGUUUCAACUGGUUCCAACUGGUUCCAACUGGUAUAGAAGCUGAUUACGUGUUACUAUGUAGCUUCAUUUUGUAACAAAUAAUGCUCCUUUUUUUAUGUUAUUUCUUGUUUUAUCACUAUAAUUUUUACUCCUUAUUACUGUAUCAUGUAUGUUGUAUCAUUAAUAUGUAAAUGUUGUUUUAUGAAAUGAUAUGCCAAUCAAAAUCACUAUUCUCCUUUUACCUGUGUCGCUGAGAAAGAAAACACAUGGGCGUGUGCACGCACACACACACCUCAAUAC